UACGUAGGUGGCAAGCGUUGUCCGGAUUUACUGGGUGUAAAGGGCGUGUAGCCGGGCUGACAAGUCAGAUGUGAAAUCCGGGGGCUCAACCCCCGAACUGCAUUUGAAACUGUUGGUCUUGAGUAUCGGAGAGGCAGGCGGAAUUCCUAGUGAAGCGGUGAAAUGCGUAGAUAUUAGGAGGAACACCAGUGGCGAAGGCGGCCUGCUGGACGACAACUGACGGUGAGGCGCGAAAGCGUGGGGAGCAAACAGG
Molecule: ribosomal RNA, 253 nt
Filed under: uncultured bacterium
Lineage: Bacteria
Description: partial 16S ribosomal RNA
Rfam family: Bacterial small subunit ribosomal RNA
Source: RNAcentral